AACCUGUCUUUUAACCGAUUCUCCACGAUAAUUUUCACUUUUAUUUAAAUCUUAUAUACCUCCAUCUAAAGGAUUAACAAUUAUAUUCUCCCCCUGACAGAUUUCUAAUAAGUUAGGUAAAGGUGUAGACAAUAUAAAAGAUAAGAUGGGUUACAAUAAAUUUUAUUUAAGGAUUAUAAGCUAAAGCUUAUUAUAAAAAAGGAUUUAUUAGUAAUUUUAAAAUAAUAUUCUAAAAUGAACCAGAUAAACAAUGUGCACACAUCGCCCGUCGUUCUU
This 276-nucleotide ribosomal RNA is filed under the name Araneus ventricosus. Its description in RNAcentral is "partial small subunit ribosomal RNA". The record is from RNAcentral. Lineage: Eukaryota; Metazoa; Arthropoda; Arachnida; Araneae; Araneidae.